RNAcentral lists this small RNA (45 nucleotides) under Arabidopsis thaliana (thale cress). RNAcentral's name for it is "ATSL134690". Lineage: Eukaryota; Viridiplantae; Streptophyta; Magnoliopsida; Brassicales; Brassicaceae. The record is from RNAcentral.
GGUUUUAUAUCAAGCCAAUCUCCGUCACUUAUUUCUGAUAUCAAA